RNAcentral lists this ribosomal RNA (453 nucleotides) under Microlophus indefatigabilis. Its description in RNAcentral is "partial 12S ribosomal RNA". It matches the Rfam family "Bacterial small subunit ribosomal RNA", at positions 684 to 1342 of the family's 1533-position model. Lineage: Eukaryota; Metazoa; Chordata; Lepidosauria; Squamata; Tropiduridae. The record is from RNAcentral.
AAACAAACCACUACCUUACCGUAAAACACAGGUAAAAUGAAGUCUCUUACCCCAAGCAAUUUGAACCCACGAAAACUAAGAAACAAACUAGGAUUAGAUACCCUACUAUGCUUAGUUGUAAAUAAGACGCCCCCCAACACAAGCGUCCGCCAGAGGACUACAAGCGAAAAGCUUAAAACUCAAAAGACUUGGCGGUGUCCCAAACCCGACUUAGAGGAGCCUGUCCUAUAAUCGAUAACCCACGAUAAACCCGACCACCCCUUGCCAACCAGCCUAUAUACCGCCGUCGCAAACCUACCUUACAAGAGAACAACAGUAGGUACAACAGUAAAACCACUAAAACGUCAGGUCAAGGUGUAGCUAAUGGGGUGGAAGAGAUGGGCUACAUUCUUUAACAUAAAGUAGACAGAAAAGGCCAUGAAAUAGGCCUCAAAAGGAGGAUUUAACAGUAAG